This is a long non-coding RNA of Cyprinus carpio carpio, 1622 nucleotides long. NCBI's taxonomy places the organism in Eukaryota, Metazoa, Chordata, Actinopteri, Cypriniformes, Cyprinidae. The record is from Ensembl.
AAAAAAUACAGCAUUUUGAAACAUAAUUCAAAAUGGCCGACACCUAAAAUGGCCGACACGGCAAAAUUGGAUAUCAUUCGACUCGACAUGACCCACCGAAUCUAAAGAGACCAGUUUUGUGAUUUUUGGCCAAACCAUUCAGAAGUUAUAAGCAAAAAUAUGCAUUUUUCAUAUCUCCUGACCACUAGGUGGCGCUGCGUCGAAACACUGCAGGUAGUCUCCGGUCAUGCUUGUUAUAACACACACCAAGUUUGGUCUCAAUACGCCAAACCGUUGCGGAGUUAUAGCCUCACAAGCAUUUUUGCGUGCUUUUCAUAGAAUUUUUUCGCAUGGUAUUCGAGAACGUUUGGACGAAUCAACUUGAUUUCCAUAACUUUUUGCCGGCAUGGUCUGAAGAUGAUCUGAGCCAAUUUUAGUGAAAAUCGGACUAACCGUCUAGGACGAGUUCGAAAAAGUAAGUUUUUCAAACAAUUGAAAAUAGCGAAAAAACUAAACCUUGCGAUUUUUGAAUUUUGGGGUUCAUUCGACUUGGCAUGAGCCAAGGAUUCAGAGGAAAAAAGAAUUUUCAUUUUGUGGCUUACGGUUCAAAAGUUAUUAGCAUAAAAAUAUUGAAAUUUUGGACAAGUGGUGGCGCUAGAGAGUUAGAGUUAGAGACUUCAAAUUUGCUAUAGUUAAUGCUGGGACUGUCCUCUAUCAGUGUGCCAAAUUAUACAACUUUCCCGCAAUCGGUUCUAUGGGCUGCCAUAGACUUGCGGCGGAAGAAGAAGAAGAAGAAGAAGAAGAAGAAGAAGAAGAAGAAGAAGAAGAAAUAUAGCUGCAAGCAGCAAUUACGGGGCCAAGCACUCCAGAGGCAAAUUGAGGAGCUAAGCAUGGCAUGGACCAUCAGACCAAAUGCAGAAAGGACUAACUGAAGCCAUUUUAGGAUGAUUGUAAUUGAAAUGGCGGAAAAAUCGUAAAUACAAGCACUAGUAUUAUGAUUAAAUGGCUUAUCACUUUUGACCAACAGGUGGCGCUGUAAUCAAAUCAUUUUGGUGUGUUCUGUGUGAGGUGACAAUGGCACACACAAAGUUUGGUGUCAGUAUGCCAAAGCAUUGCAGAGAUACAGGCUGAAGUGUCAUUUUGGCAUCAUGCCUGAAAUUCGUCGCUGUGGUAUGCGAAAACGAUUUUGUCUAUCGAUACAAAAUCCAUAACAUUUUGUCAGCACAGUCUGAAGAUCAUCUGAUUCAAUUUUGGUGAAAAUCGGACCAACGGUUGAUGAGGAGUUCGAAAAAGUAGGUUUUCAACAUAAAUCAAAAUGGCGGACAGGAAGUUCAGCGUACUCUGACAUAUUUGGUAUCUAUGUUGUCGGCAUAAGCCAAGGAAUAUUUUGAGACCAGUUUUAUUGCAAUAGGCUAAUGCAAUAAAAAGUUAUUAGCAUUUUUAUAAAUGUAAUUAUUAAUGGUUAAUGAAUGGUUUAUUACUCUUGACCAAUAGGUGGCGCUGUUACCAAAUUGAUGUUGCAUGGUCAGUGUGAGGUGACAAUGGCACCUACAAAGUUUGGUGCAAAAAUGUCAAAGCUUUGCAGAGAUACAGCCUCAGAUGUAUUUUGGCAUCUUACGACCAAAUUUGUUGAUGCGCUAAAC